Molecule: RNA transcript, 4985 nt
Organism: Poecile atricapillus (Black-capped chickadee)
Lineage: Eukaryota; Metazoa; Chordata; Aves; Passeriformes; Paridae
Gene: PTGES
Gene name: prostaglandin E synthase
Exons: 5
Source: RefSeq, a predicted model, not a curated record
UUAAGUUUGCAUUAAAUAGCAGCCCAGCUGCCUGCAGGGGCUCCGAUCCCACUCUCUUUAUUCCACAACGUUUGAUGGCUGAGGAAAAGCCAGCUCCAAAUUCACAUGGAACUUUCUAAACCAAGAACAAAAUUCCAUCUGUCAGCCUUGGUUCAUUCUCUCAGAGAAAACCAGGACGAGCUGAUUUUGGGGCGGGCAGACAGACAGCUCUUCACUUGGUGCAGUUUAGGGGCUUUGCGGUCCAGGACGUGCCUGGUUGGGUUCCAGGCUGGUGAUUCCCGGGACUCCCCUCCCAGCCGGGGGUGCGGGACAGCCCAGGCUCCCGGGGGGUGGGCGCUGGGGAGCCAAGGGCCAGCUGUGUCCGCUGCCCAUCCCUCGGCAGGUGGAUCUGUAGGAAGGGUUAGCUCUCUCUGCCACGGGUGUGAGUUCUCAGCCAGCACUGGGCGGGACGGGAAGCGCGGCCACGGAGCAGUGGGCUCCAGUACAGGGCUGGAAGCGGCUGAGACAGGCGCUUACCUUCUUCUAACUCCUCCUUGGACGGCUGAAGAGCUCCGGUCUGCGGCUGUUCCUGCCUCUCUCCUGCGGGAUCCUCUCGCAGCCCAAGAUCUCCCCUGGCUUUGGGUGCUGAAGCCACCGAGCAGCACGCUCGCCCAAAAUGAUGGAAAAUAAAGUGUUCCUGUCUUUCACGUUCUACAGCACAAUUUUGAUUUUAAAAAUGUAUGUCGUUGCCAUCAUAACGGGGCAAGUGAGACUCAGAAAGAAGGCAUUUGCAAACCCAGAGGAUGCCUUGCGCAAUGGGGGGUUGCAGUUCUGCCGCGAAGACCCUGACGUGGAGCGGUGCCGCAGGGCCCACCGUAAUGACAUGGAGAACAUUUUUCCCUUUCUCUUCCUUGGAGCCAUCUACUCCCUGCUGGAUCCCAGUCCCACAGUGGCCAGGAUCCAUUUCCUCAUCUUCUGCGUGGGACGGAUCAUCCACACCAUUGCCUACCUCCUGCAGCUGAGGGCACCCACACGCUCCGUGGCCUACAGUGUGGCCCAGCUGCCCUGCUUCUCCAUGGCCCUGCAGAUCCUCCUGGCCACCACCCCAUACUGGUAACAACCAGAGACUGACCACCCAAACCCCCUCAUCCUGACUCUGCUGGACCCUCUGUGAGUGGGAGAGUGAGGGUGGGUGUGUGUGUGUGUGUGUGAGAGAGAGAGAGAUGUCACCAGGGAGGUCACCUGGACCCUGAGGAUGUUCAGUGCGGCCUUGAUGAAAUUCCACUGUCAUCGGAAUUUUGUCAGAGAAAUCACCAGAGAGGAGGGACAUACAGGAAGGGGAUGUGGAGCAGGUUUCUCUCCCACCUGCUGAGGAUGAGAGGUGGGAAGCACAUGGACUACGCCUCGAGGAAGGGGUCAUUGAAGGAAAGGUUUUCUGUGUUUGGAAAAGGUGGGGAAGAUGUGCCUUUUCCUCCUGGUCAUGAGAAUCCCAUGAAUCAGGAAGGGAAAAUCAUGAGAGUCCCACAAAGUCUCUUAGCAGAUGUGGUUGGUAGCAGAGGUUACAAAGCAGCCACCCUUCUCCUGCCCAACCACGUGCAUCUGUGGGAAUGUGAGUCCUGUAGGACUUAGGCCUGUGCCUCCAGACAGCAUAACAGGGAAGUCAAAAUCUCAGAGGUGAUGUUGCAGAGCAUUCAGUGUUCCCGGUGCCACCUCAUCUCCUGCCACAGGACACAGCUCCCUGCCAGGAGCCUCACUGCAACCCUGCUAGCUCCUGGCAACUCCCAGCCAGCAGCAGCUGUCCUUUUCCACCACAGCACAAUGCAGAGCGACAUGCCUGGAAAAGCCAGCAGGAAUCCUUUACCCUGGACACAGAGCCUGAACACAUUUGCCGGACACAAAGUUCUGGGGCAUCUGGAAAAUCUAAAAUGCUGGCACAAAACAGAGGGUUUGCAGACAGAAUUUUCUCCCAAAGGGCAGUCUAGUCCAUGUGCUACUAAUACCUGAAAAUGCCCCCAGAGCAUCAGACUGAGUUUCUCCCCCUCUGUUUUUAGCCUUUCUCUGGCCACAGAAUGGCUGUUGCUAUUUGGGAAAUGUGCUGUGAUCGCCGUAGAGGUGUUUUCUUUCAGCUGUUUCCUGCUGUCCACUGCUGCCACACCAUUCACAGCCUGGACCAGCUGGUGUUUGCAGAAAGCUCUGGAAAUGAGCAGAGGGGCUUUGAAGGGAGUACUGCUGCUCUGCAGUGCCACCCAAACGUGUCAUGUUGGAGAGGAGAGGCCGGGACCAGGGUACUGCAUGGUGACAAAGGCCCGUGAGCUCCUCUGCCACACAGCUGUCCCCAGGUGCCAGGGGCUGCUCCUGGCAGCAGCAGCAAUUGAGCAUCCCUCUGGAGAAGAAGGCAGGAAGAAACCUCUGCUCUUCAGUGUAUCCUCCCUCCUCUGAGGGCACAGAAUUUGAAUGACAUCACAGAAUGAGUAGGAAAUAAAUUUCCCUUCCACCUGUCCUGUGCACUAAGGCUGUUCCCUUGACUCUGCUCUCCUCAGAGAUGCUCUUGCUGAGACCUCACUGAGCACUGGGGUGAACACCUGCUCAGAAAUGAUGCUCACCCUUUGUUCAGCUUGGGUAGAAGUUUCUGUACCAGUAACUCAAUCCCAGUGCAGUUGUGGCCUGAGGCUGAGCUGUGUGGUGAAGUUUGGAGUGGAAUUCUUCGUCCUCCCACUGCAAGGAAGGUGGACAGGAUUGCAGGUUCAGCAGUUCACUCUUGGCCACUUCUCCUUCACACAGAUGUCUGGGUAACACAGACCCCUCUUAACAAGUCUUUUCUGCCUCACAUGGUGCACAAGGUCUUGAACUCCUCUAUGUUUCUCUGCUGCUACACACGCAUCCUGGUGGCAGGAAGUAAAUAUUCCCAAUAAAAACAAAUCAUUGUGCUCUGAUACAUCCUUCCUUUGGGAGUAGCAGAUGCAGCUGGGCAGCAGCUGGGUCCAGCCCCAGCAGGAUGUUAAACCCCACUGUAGAGCCUGGAGUGCCCUGUGACUUCUAAAGAGACAUCCUUUUCCUCUGCACUCACCUGCCCUGCACAGGAACCUCCUUUCUAGGUGUGCAUUAUUUGUGCUGACCUUUAAAUUCAGCAGAGCUGGGAAUUACAAGCAGUCCUGCUCAGUUUUCCUCCCCUGAGUAGCAAGUUGUUACAAAGCUUGGUGUUCACCCAAAAAUCCUGGAGGGCUGGAGAACCUCAGGUAAGAUCUGGUUGAUCUUCUUUGUGUUGUUAGGACUCGUAAAGGAGCUGCUUGUAUUUUCCAAGAUAAGUAGCUCCCUUUUUUUUGCACUAGGUUGCUGGGAAACAAAUGCUUAAUUUCUCUGGUUUUCCCUAUUUUCUUAAGUUGUUGGUGGUUGGGAGUUGCUGCCCUGUCAGUGUCUGCGUUAGUUUCGUAAAAUGGUUCCACUUGCUUGUUUUCUUUCCCUGUUUGUUUUCAAAUGAGAAAGGCAGUGGUUUUAUAAAAUGGACUCUCUCCAGUACAUGUUGCUGUGGUUGGAGAUGUGGCUGGGAUGGAGAUUUUGGCAUGGGAAGGAAGAAGGGAGGCUACAGAACCCCCUGCCAGCCCCCAAAUCUGCUUCAGCCUCUUCUCGGCUGCCUGUCCAGUGCCUGAGGCUCAUGCCCUGCUCAAGGAAGCUGAGGUUACAUGCAAAGCUCUACUUUCUCCUUUUUUAUUAAAAAAAAAAUAAAAAUAAAUAAACUCUGCUUACUGGCUGCAGGGAAAAGCUUGGGAAUGUGAACUGUCCUGGCUCAAAAAAAAAACAAACACAAAAAGCCUAACAGGCAAACUUGAGAGAGGCCCAAGCAUUGCACUUAUUUUGAAGUGUUGUGGAAGUUUGGGGGAAGCAGGACCAUUACGGCUUUCCUGGGACCAGGUGAUCAGAGCCCCUGGCUCUCCCCUGGACACUCACAGUGGUUGCUGCAUGUGGGGGGGCCUUUUCCCAAUUAAUAUCUAAAGCCCAGAGCUCCUAAAUUCCUGCUCUGGCAUCGAUGUAGGCAAAGGAUGUGCCCAGUGUCUCCUGCUGCUCCAGGAGAGCAAGGACAGUGGUUGCACCCACCAGUGUCUGGGGUUUGGUGUGUGCUUUGUGUGUAGAACCAUUUGUUUUUCACACCUGGCUCAAACGGGAAACGGCAACGAUGUGAAACCCACCUGGGAUUGCAGAACAACAAUUUGGUGCUUAAAUGGGUACUAAUUGAAAGAGGAUAAAUUUAGGUUAGACAUUAGGAAGAAUUUUUUUACUGUAAGGGUGGUGAGACCCUGGUACAGGCUGCCCAUGGAGGCUGUGGAUGCCCCAGCCCUGGCAGAGUUCAAAGCCAGGUUUGAUGAGACCUUGAGCAACUUUGGUUUAAUUCAAGCUGUCCCUGCCUACGGCAGGAGUAAAUGAUCUUUAAGGUCCAUUCCACCCCCUUCUGUGGUUAAAUGUGUGAAUGUGAUUCACACAACCAGUACGUGUCUUCCCUCGAGGUGUCUGGAGCUGGGAGAAAAGCAAGUGGAGACCCAGCACAAGCCGCUUUCCCUCCCACACUCUUGCAGGUAGUUCAAGUCCCAGGAUCCCUCCUACCCCUGAGCACUGGACACACCUCUUCCUUACCUGUCUGCACCGCUCCCUGGUCUCUCUUCAUCCAGACCUUCCCUUGGUGGGAUCUGGACCAAGAUUCCUCCUUGGGCAGCUCUCCUUUAACACAGAUCACUCUUCCACCCUCUCAAAAUCUCCCCUUCCCUGCAGCAGACGGGAUUUUGAUACACAAAUCCCCUUAUUCCUCUUGAGGAAUUGAGAUUCCUGUGACUUGCAGAGAGAAUGAGAGGAUCCAGCUCUACAAGUGAAUCCCCUGGAGAAGACAGCGGUGCUUCCCUGCUGCGCUCUGUUUGUAGAUGGUGCCAGCAGGACUCUGAGGGUCUUCAGACUUUCCCAUUGCCACCAGAGGGAGAAGGGCUCAGCAGCACAAGCAUAGUGGGAAAGGAGGAUACUGU